AGAUGACAUACUGCUCACAGUGAAGCUGUUGGAGUUUGAUUGAUACAUAAACUGGAUCUUAAUGAGCUCUUAUAGUGGAUAUUGACAGCAGUUGGUCCAUUAUAGGAGUAGGAUGUGUAUCAAAAUGAGAUCUAUCGACUUUGAUAGAAAGAAAUAGUCCAUGGAACUUGAGAGGCUAAGUCUGAGAAUUUGUGAUUAUAGUAGUGUGAUUGAUGAAAAAGAAUUUUCAUAGAAGUCACAACUGGACUUAAGCUAAUUGAAUCUAUCAUAUAACUAAUGUUGAGAUUUGACGAUUUAUCCAUGACCUGCCAUCUAGUCGGGACUCAUGAUAGA
Molecule: long non-coding RNA, 333 nt
Filed under: Elaeis guineensis (African oil palm)
Lineage: Eukaryota; Viridiplantae; Streptophyta; Magnoliopsida; Arecales; Arecaceae
Description: long non-coding RNA (EGUI_LNC049546)
Source: RNAcentral